This is a long non-coding RNA of Felis catus (domestic cat), 1261 nucleotides long. RefSeq lists it as uncharacterized. The record is from RefSeq and is a predicted model, not a curated record. Lineage: Eukaryota; Metazoa; Chordata; Mammalia; Carnivora; Felidae. The transcript has 2 exons.
ACAGUGACAAUUGGUCGGAAUUUUACAGUUACAUCUGGCAAAAUGAUCGGCCCUUAUUUCUCCCAGUUUUCUUUAUCGACUGCCUGAAAGUGAAAUUAAAGGAUGGUGUGGCCUUCUCCACAGAGGAAGAACAAUUCCAACGUCCCACACCCCAACAGCUAGCGCAUUAAAUAAAUCAAGAUUCCCAGCAGCCUCCAGCAUACUAAAGAUAAAACAUCAAGAAAGAACUUGAGACCAAAGUCAUCAAAUGCAGACAGACAUUCUAUGAGGUAUUUAUUUGCAACGACUAGGUUUGCUUGCUCAGUGUCAGGUCACCAAAGACAAAUGUUCAGGCUCCCAGUGGAUCCGAACCAAAGUUCAUACAGUUUGGCCACUUUAGGAUGGCAAGCAUUUGGAGAGGAGAGGAUCACCUUAGAGGAACAUCCAGAACAAAGACAUGAGAAGCUCGGGAUGGAUCCAUUCCACGUAUCAAGGGCAGACCUAAUGUGAAGCAUGUCACAUGACAGCGAGAGGCAAAUGGCAGGCACACAUACCACGUUCCCUUGUGUUCCAUUCCAAAUCAGGGCAUAGUCCCGAUGGUAAUCGACAGUUGAGAAAGAAGAGCUGAAAGACACAGGCGCUGAACAACGUUUAAUUGCUGUGUGUUAAAUUAGGUGACUGGGUUUCAGGGUGACACCUCACAGAGAGAUGCCAAAGGUGGUGCCAUUGCAUCAGUUUUCCUGCACUUGGUCGUUCUGCUUUCCUGCAGGAGAUGCCACGUCCAAAGGAGACACACGCCAAAACACAUAAAAGAGAACUGAAAAACAGAAAGAGGAACUUUUAAGAUGAAGAGUCCCCCACACGGAAAGGAGCUAAACUGCAGGACGGUAUUUAUGUUUAGAGGUAUAGCUUCAAUACCAGACAGCCUUGAGCCCUGAUUCGCGAGCUUCAAGGCUUACCAUUGGAGGGAAGAUGACAUUUUUAAAAGUUUUCCCCUGUUUCUUUGGAAAUCCAGUGAUUUUUCUCUACCAGACCCCACAGUUACCUUCACCCAUCCUUCUUUCUCUUGUCUUUGUGACAGCUGUGUUAGGUGCUAGAGGAGCAAGAAAGUAAACAUGGAGACACAUAAAAAGACUUGGGAACUGGGGAACUGUUUGUGGUUGUUGAGACAUGAGGUUAUGUAGGGGACAAUGGCAGGAUAUGAGGCAGGACAAUUAAAUUUGGGAUAGAUCCCACUCUCCCGGGAGUUUAGAUUUUGUCUUUUAGACAAUAGGAGGCCCCC